AUCGGAAACUGGAUAACUUGAGUGCAGAAGAGGGUAGUGGAACUCCAUGUGUAGCGGUGGAAUGCGUAGAUAUAUGGAAGAACACCAGUGGCGAAGGCGGCUACCUGGUCUGCAACUGACGCUGAGACUCGAAAGCAUGGGUAGCGAACAGGAUUAGAUACCCUGGUAGUCCAUGCCGUAAACGAUGAGUGCUAGGUGUUGGAGGGUUUCCGCCCUUCAGUGCCGGAGCUAACGCAUUAAGCACUCCGCCUGGGGAGUACGACCGCAAGGUUGAAACUCAAAGGAAUUGACGGGGGCCCGCACAAGCGGUGGAGCAUGUGGUUUAAUUCGAAGCUACGCGAAGAACCUUACCAGGUCUUGACAUCUUGCGCCAACCCUAGAGAUAGGGCGUUUCCUUCGGGAACGCAAUGACAGGUGGUGCAUGGUCGUCGUCAGCUCGUGUCGUGAGAUGUUGGGUUAAGUCCCGCAACGAGCGCAACCCUUGUUACUAGUUGCCAGCAUUAAGUUGGGCACUCUAGUGAGACUGCCGGUGACAAACCGGAGGAAGGUGGGGACGACGUCAGAUCAUCAUGCCCCUUAUGACCUGGGCUACACACGUGCUACAAUGGACGGUACAACGAGUCGCRAACUCGCGAGGGCAAGCAAAUCUCUUAAAACCGUUCUCAGUUCGGACUGCAGGCUGCAACUCGCCUGCACGAAGUCGGAAUCGCUAGUAAUCGCGGAUCAGCAUGCCGCGGUGAAUACGUUCCCGGGCCUUGUACACACCGCCCGUCACACCAUGAGAGUUUGUAACACCCAAAGUCGG
This 805-nucleotide ribosomal RNA is filed under the name Limosilactobacillus fermentum. RNAcentral describes it as "bacterial SSU rRNA". It matches the Rfam family "Bacterial small subunit ribosomal RNA", at positions 625 to 1430 of the family's 1533-position model. The record is from RNAcentral. Lineage: Bacteria; Bacillati; Bacillota; Bacilli; Lactobacillales; Lactobacillaceae.